This 89-nucleotide small nucleolar RNA is filed under the name Metschnikowia bicuspidata var. bicuspidata NRRL YB-4993. RNAcentral describes it as "Small nucleolar RNA snR56". It matches the Rfam family "Small nucleolar RNA snR56". The record is from Rfam by way of RNAcentral. Lineage: Eukaryota; Fungi; Ascomycota; Pichiomycetes; Serinales; Metschnikowiaceae.
UACAAGGAUGAUAAAACUACACAGACCUGAUCUGACGAGAGCCCCUGGGUUCCAAUGCAGACAAACCGUAUUGCCUUUUUUUGCUGACG